Molecule: long non-coding RNA, 764 nt
Organism: Epinephelus fuscoguttatus (brown-marbled grouper)
Lineage: Eukaryota; Metazoa; Chordata; Actinopteri; Perciformes; Serranidae
Exons: 3
Source: RefSeq, a predicted model, not a curated record
GCAGGGCCUAUUUAAUGCACCUGUGGCAUGAAGGCUGCCUCUCUCUCCCUUUGUCUGUGCCUGGUUUCUGCCACAUGGUCAUGUCUGAGGUUCCUUUCCUGUACUGAUGGCUGGUCGUUUUGAUGUCCACGAACAUUGAGUUGAGCGGUGAACUGUGCGGAACGGGUUAAAGGACAUCUGGGCAAUUGCUGUACCGGCCAAGACAAUCGGCUGCUGUUUUGUCUUUAGUGCUGUUUUGUUUUGUUUUUGUGCUGUUUCGUUUAUUUUUAGUUUACUUGAGUUAGCCACCAACUUUUAAUCCUAGCAUUUUAUUGAAAUUGUUAUUAAAAAUCACUGUUUUAGCUGAACCAACUGGUUUAAUACAUCUUACCUGUUUUCUUUGUUUAACAUUUUCUUUCUUCUCCUUUACCGUGCAGUGGUUGCUGGCUAGUGGCGGAGGCUAGGCACUCUAGGUGGUCCCCCACCCCUUGUUUUGUUGUAGUGAUAAGGGCACUGGGACACGAUUUUCUGCACCUAUUUGCCGUGUGUUUGCUGUGAGUUCACGAGUGGUGGGUAAGUGCACUCCUGGGACACAUCCUCUGGUAGUUUGCCUCCCCCUUGCUAGCUUCCACUCACUCCCCUCCCCCUUUUUUGUUGAUAGUUUUAAAUAAUUUACACUGGAAGUGUGUUUACUAAAGUUAUUGUUAAAGAAUAAAUUGUAAUAAAUUUUCUUAUACAUUCUUCCAUAACUUGAACUUGCAAUCAUUUCCAGUUACUAAUCUUUU